GAUGAAGAACGUAGCGAAAUGCGAUACGUAAUGUGAAUUGCAGAAUUCAGUGAAUCAUCGAGUCUUUGAACGCACAUUGCGCCCCCUGGUAUUCCGGGGGGCAUGCCUGUCCGAGCGUCAUUGCUGCCCUCAAGCACGGCUUGUGUGUUGGGCCUCCGUCCUCCUCCCGGGGGACGGGCCCGAAAGGCAGCGGCGGCACCGCGUCCGGUCCUCGAGCGUAUGGGGCUUCGUCACCCGCUCUUGUAGGCCCGGCCGGCGCUUGCCGACACAUCAAUCUUUUUUCCAGGUUGACCUCGGAUCAGGUAGGGAUACCCGCUGUACUUAAGCAUAUCAAUAAGCGGAGGA
This 345-nucleotide unclassified non-coding RNA is filed under the name soil metagenome. RNAcentral describes it as "partial contains 5.8S ribosomal RNA, internal transcribed spacer 2, and large subunit ribosomal RNA". The stretch from base 1 to 120 matches the Rfam family "5.8S ribosomal RNA", at positions 35 to 154 of the family's 154-position model. The record is from RNAcentral.